This 1530-nucleotide long non-coding RNA is filed under the name Homo sapiens (human). RNAcentral's name for it is "HSALNT0358082". Lineage: Eukaryota; Metazoa; Chordata; Mammalia; Primates; Hominidae. The record is from RNAcentral.
AUCAGGUUAACUGCAGACCACAGUUUGACGCUUUUAAUGUAUCCUAGAGGAUAUCCUUCUUUGUAUUACUGUGGGGUACCCAUUGUCGUUGAAAUUUGUUUGAUAAUCCCCCUUUUUACCUCUCUUCUGUCAUCACUUUGAAUCACAACUUGCAUUUUUUAUUAUUAGGGUUAUCUUUUUACAUGGUCGCCUUGGCUACCCCAAUAGAUAGUAUAGUGCCUUGUUACCCAAAAUAUGGGCCGUGGACCAAUAGCAUCAGCAUCACCUAGGAGCUUUGAAAAAAAUGCAGAAAUUCAGGCCUCCUUCCAGUACUACUGAAUCACAAACUGCACUUUUCUUUUUUUUUUUUUUUUUUUUUUUUUUUCUUGAGACGGAGUCUCGCUCUGUCGCCCAGGCUGGGGUACAUUGGCGCGAUCUCUGCUCACCGCAAGCUCCGCCUCCUGGGUUCACGUCAUUCUCCUGCCUCAGCCUCUCCAGUAGCUGGGACUACAGGCACCCGCCACCACGCCCGGCUAAUUUUUUGUAUUUUUAGUAGAGACGAGGUUUCACCAUGUUAGCCAGGAUGGUCUCCAUCUCCUGACCUCGUGAUCCGCCCGCCUCGGCCUCCCAAAGUGCCGGGAUUACAGGCGUGAGCCACCGCGCCCGGCCCACAGGCUGCAUUUUAAUAACACUCUCUGGUGAUUUGUACGCUUGUGUGUUGGAGACCUAUUAUAUUUGCCUAACUGUCGUUCUCUGCUUCAGGAAAUCUGUCAUUUAUCUGUUUCAGGAAAUGCUCUGACUCCAACACAUAAGGCAGAGAACAGAGGAGAGAUGAGGCAAAAGGGAAUAUUAGACAGAUUCAAAGCUUGAAAAGGACUUGAUCCACUAUGAGGCCAUUAAUGAAGGAAUGCAGGCUGCCUGUAACAGUUGAAAAUCACCCCAGCCAACACCCAGCAAGGAAAUGGAGACCAUAGUCCUCUAACUGUAUGGAACUGAAUUCUGCCAACAAAGUGAAUAAGAUGGGAAGUGAAGACCCUCCCAGAGCCUCCAGAAAGGAAGAGAGCCAUUCAGACACCUUGAUUUCAGCCUUCUGAAACUUGGAGCAGAGAGCCGGCUGUGUCAACCUGAACCUGGGUUUUUAACCUACAAAACUGAGAAAUAAUGAAUAGUGAUUUUUUUUUUUAAAGAUGGAGUCUAGCUCCGUCACCCAGGCUGGAGUGCAGUGGCACGAAUAGUGAUUGUUUUAAGCCACUAAAUUUAUGGUAGUUUUGUUAGGGCAGCAAUAGAAAACUAAUACAUAUGUAAUAUAGCAUUUUAUAAACUAAAAUGUCAGGCAAAUAUGUGCUCUUAUAAUUUGAUAUUGCUAUCUAUUAGAGACAUUGGGUUAAAGAAUAUACUGAACCAAUGUUGUAUUUAUUAUAAGAAAGAUAAGGGUGGGAGAUGGAAAAAAUGAUGUUAAACUCAUGAAUUUAGUUUGCUUUGCAAAUGUUUAACUUUGAGGUUGCUUUUUUCCAGAUCCCUGGAGAUUUGGCCUUUCGGCAUACAGAGAGG